UUUGAUCAUGGCUCAGAUUGAACGCUGGCGGGAUGCUUUACGCAUGCAAAGUCGAACGGCGGCACGGACUUCGGUCUGGUGGCGAGUGGCGGGCCGGGUGAUAAUGUAUCGGAACGUGCCUAGUAGCGGGGGGAUAACUACACAGCGUAGCUAUUCCGCAUACGCCCUUCGGGGAAAGCGGGGACAUUCGGGCCUCGCACUAUUAGAAACGGCCGAUAUCGGAUUAGCUAGUUGGUGGAGUAACGGCUCACCAGGCGACGAUCCGUAGCUGGUUCCGAGAGGACGACCAGCCACACUGGGACUGAGACCUGGCCCAGACUCCUACGGGAAGGCAGCAGUGAAAUUUUGGACAAUGGAAACCUGAUCCAGCCAUCCCGCGUGCGAUGAAGGCCUUCGGGUUGUAAAGCACUUUUGGUAGGAAAGAAACAGCUGGAUAAUACCCCGUGCAACGGGCGAUGAAUCAGCACUAUUCAACUACGUACCAGCGACGCGGUAAUACGUAGAGGGUGCAAGCGUUAAUCGGAAUUACUGGGCGUAAAGCGUGCGCAGGCGGUUCCGGAAAAGAAAGAUGUGAAAUCCCAGGCUUAACUUUGGAGCACAUUUUAACUACCGAGCUAGAGUGUGUCAGAGGGAGGUGGAAUUCCCGCGAUAAUAGCAGUGAAAUGCGUAGAUAUGCGGAGGAACACCGAUGGCGAAGGCAACCUCCUGGGAUAACACUGACGCUCAUGCACGAAAGCGUGGGGAGCAAACAGGAUUAGAUACCCUGGUAGUCCACGCCUAAACGAUAUCAACUAGCUGUUGGGGCCUUCGGGCCUUGCAGUAGCGCAACUAACGUGAAGUUGACCGCCUGGGAAAUUACGGUCGCAAGAUUAAAACUCAAAGGAAUUGACGGGGACUCGCCUGGCGGUGGACCUGAUGUGGAUUAAUUCGAUGCAACGCGAAAAACCUUACUACGCCGGUAACAUGGAAUCCCGAAGGAAGUUGGGAGUGCUCGCAAGAGAACCGGAACACCAGGUGUUGCAUGGCUGUCGUCAGCUCGUGUCGUGAGAUGUUGGGUUAAGUCCCCGCAACUGGCGCAACCCUUGUCAUUAGUUUGCUGCGGGCACUCUAAUGGGACUGCCGGUGACAAACCGGAGGAAGGUGGGGAUGACGUCAAGUCCUCAUGGCCCAUAUGGGUAGGGCUUCACACGUCAUACAAUGGUCCGGGACAGAGGUCGCCAACCCGCGAGGGGGAGCCAAUCCAGAAACCCGAUCGUAGUCCGGAUCACGGUCUACGCUCGACUGCGUGAAGUCGGAAUCGCUAGUAAUCGCGGAUCAUGUCGCGGUGAAUACACGUUCCAGGUCUUAUACACACACCGCCCGUCACACCAUGGGAGUGGGUUUUACCAGAAGUAGUUAGCCUAACCGUAAGGAGGGCGAUUACCACGGUAAAGUUCAUGGCUAGGGUGAAGUCGUAACAAGGUAA
RNAcentral lists this ribosomal RNA (1465 nucleotides) under uncultured Bordetella sp. RNAcentral's name for it is "partial 16S-23S ribosomal RNA intergenic spacer". It matches the Rfam family "Bacterial small subunit ribosomal RNA". The record is from RNAcentral. Lineage: Bacteria; Pseudomonadati; Pseudomonadota; Betaproteobacteria; Burkholderiales; Alcaligenaceae.